This 1716-nucleotide ribosomal RNA is filed under the name Triticum aestivum (bread wheat). RNAcentral's name for it is "partial small subunit ribosomal RNA". The record is from RNAcentral. Lineage: Eukaryota; Viridiplantae; Streptophyta; Magnoliopsida; Poales; Poaceae.
AUGGCAAUGGCCGCCUCCGAUCAGCAACUACAGCAGGCCCGCAGCACCCGGCACGGCUUUGAGGAUGAGUCCCGGUGGGUGGAGCUGAUCCGGGAAUCCCUCCGGGAGGUUUCCGGGGAGGAGGACGACGACGGCAUCCCCGUGUCCGUGUUCGACGUGCCCAAGCAGCUGCUGGUGCACAAGCCCGAGGCCUACGCGCCGCAGUUCAUCGCGCUGGGCCCCUACCACCACUGGCACCCUCACCUGUACGACAUGGAGCGCUACAAGAUCGAAGCCGCCCGCCGCGCGCUCCGUGCGGCCGGCCGCAGCCUGGACGACCUCGUGCGCGAGCUCCGGCACCUCGAGGGCAAGGUCCGCGCUCACUACCACCGCUACCUCGACUUCCGCGACGGGACGCUCUCGCUCAUGAUGCUCGUGGACGGCGCUUUCCUGCUAGAGUUCCUCACCAUCCACCACCACCACGCCGCCGCCGCCGAGCCCGAGAGGCUCGCCGUCUCUAACUGGACGUCGAGGAUGGCACACCUCAUCGACCUGGGCGGGACCGGGCGGAAGUCCGCUCACAGCCUCAUCCUCCGUGACAUGCUCAUGCUCGAGAACCAGAUUCCGCUCUUCCUCCUCCGCGAGAUCCUCCAGGCGCAGUGCCACUCCCAGUCCGUCGACGAGUCCACCGCGCGGCUCACCUGCAUGGUGACGGGCCUCAUGAAGGAGCUCUGUCCGUUCAAGAUGGAGGGCAACUUCCCGGAGAAGCAGAUCGAGAGGGACAUCGCCAAGCACGCGCACCUGCUCGAGCUGCUGUACCACCUGCUCGUGCCCAGGCCCAAGCCCUCUGCGUCUGAGAACUCCGCCCCGGCGUGGUCUGGCCCCGUCGAGGAUGAUAUCGAGGAGCAGCGACCGGACGGCGAUGGCGGCCAAGAACAAGAAGGCGAAGGCCCUCCCGCCGGCACCGGCAACGAGUACGUGAUGCAACUGCUCGCCGUCAUUUUGAGCAUGGCGUCGAGGCUCAAGGGCGGCCGCCUGGGCCACGUGAUCGAGUUUGCGGCCAAGGCGCCGUGGAAGAUGCUCGCCGGCAUACCCGGCAUCUCAGGCUUGUCCAUGCACGCGGACGCAGACAUGAGCCAGGAGAUCGCGAUCCCAUCGGUGACCGAACUGGCCAGCAGCGGCGUUCGGUUUAAGCCGACCAACGGCAACCUGUCCACCAUCACCUUCAACCGCAAGACGGCGACGCUGCACCUCCCGGCGGUGACCCUCGACUGCAACACGGAGGUGGUGCUCCGGAACCUGGUCGCCUACGAGUCAUCCGCCGCGUCGGGCCCGCUGGUGUUCACCCGAUACACGGAGCUGAUGAACGGCAUCAUCGACACCGACGACGACGUCACGCAUCUCCGCAAGCGCGGCGUGGUGAUCAACCGCAUGAAGAAGAGCGACGGCGAGGCCGCCAAGCUGUGGAACGGCAUGAGCCGCUCAGUGCAGCACUCCAAGGUGCCGGACCUGGACGCGGUCAUCGACGACGUGAACCGCUACUACGGCCGGCGGUGGAGCGUCAAGGCGAAGCGGUUCAUGCGCAAGUACGUGCUCAGCUCAUGGAAGAUGCUCACCUUCCUCGCCACCAUCAGCAUGCUGCUGCUCACCACCUUGCAGGCCUUCUGCUCCGUCUACACGUGCUCUCGGUGGUUCACUGACGUCGUAGUCACGGUCACGCCGACGCCGGCAGAGUAG